UACGUAGGGGGCGAGCGUUGUCCGGAGUUACUGGGCGUAAAGGGCACGCAGGCGGUGCGGCGCGUUUCGCGUGACAGCGGAGGGCUUAACUCUCCGAGGAUGCGAAAGACGGCGGCACUUGAGGGCCAGAGAGGGACACGGAAUUCCGGGUGGAGUGGUGAAAUGCGUAGAGAUCCGGAGGAACACCGAAGGCGAAGGCGGAUCUCUGGGCCAUUACUGACGCUGAGGAGCGAAAGCGUGGGGAGCGAACAGG
RNAcentral lists this ribosomal RNA (253 nucleotides) under uncultured bacterium. RNAcentral describes it as "partial 16S ribosomal RNA". It matches the Rfam family "Bacterial small subunit ribosomal RNA", at positions 524 to 776 of the family's 1533-position model. The record is from RNAcentral.